ACGUCGCGCUCUUCAGAUUGACUAGAUGAGUCUAACGCUCCUUGACGUAACGCAUUCGCCAAAUCAUAGUGCCUUUCGAUAGCAGUGUGAAAAUUUAAAAGUAUUAAGAAAUCGAGUGAUUCAGAUGUGGCAUUGUAUAAGCAUGGGUAUUUUCUAACUAUUUAUAUAAUUUUAACGGGCAUAUAUAGUAUUUUAAUACACAUUCACUCGGACGCUAAAAUAAAAUUUGUAAAAAAUUACAACGCCUGACGUCAAAGCGUCAUAACGCCGAGACCGAGCGUUGCGUACUUAUAGCGUUGGGGCUCUGUUUGACGGUAUGUUACCAUAGUAGUACAACACAUCUCGGCGUCAGUUUAGCGCUCUGACGCGCGCUAAUUACGCGUUCUGUUUGACGAAGGCUUUAAACAGUACAAAUUCAUUUCGAAAGGUUUUUAUUCAUUUCAUAACAAUGUUGCAACUAAUGUUACAAGCAUUCCCUAUCACAAGAGCAAUUUGAUUUAAGUAUGAAAAAUGAAGAAAACCAUAAUACUACGAAUCAAAAAAGAAGUUUCACUUCAUUCACGUCCACCAAGUUUUUUUCUACCUAUUCGCUAGUAGCCUAAGAGGUUAUUCCAGCUACGCCCGGACGGGUAGGUGAGUUCACGGGCUCAACCUGAGAGAAUUUGCUAACGCUAACCCUAGCAAGAGCAGUGCUACGCAGAAUCUACCAUCGGAUCGGAAUCGCGACCCACUGAGAAAACUCAGUUUGCUGUGUCUAUGGGUUAAUUCGCUCAUCGAACUCUUCGUCGUAAUCGACGAGUUCGACGACGAGGGCGGUGGCCGGUGCUUGAGGGUUCUAAAAGCACCGAGGGUGAAUCCGUGGGAUCCGACAAGACAUGUUUCGGCUUUGCGUUGCUCCGUCGCGGUCGGAUAAGUAAUUAGCGGCGGCCACGAUAACAUAAGGAUAAGGUUUUCUACACUUGCAUGGAUCAUGAAGGAACGUAUUCAACUUUUGUGGUGUCAUUUUGUUAUGAAGGGACAAUUUACUUCGCUUGCAGAUCACGGGGUAGUAGAGUCGACCUAGUAGUAAGUACUAGGAAGGACCUAGUAGUCGGUCGCGUACUGACUUAAUGUGAGACCAGAAUGCCAUUCCCCUGUCGAGAAUGACGACUAAGUACUUAGCCUUCGAAGCCCACGGUAUGGGCUGGUCAAAGAUUUUAAUGGCGGAAAUUGAGUUACUGCGCCUAAUUGGUGACGAGAUACUAGCAGAAGGAACCAAAUCUAUACUUGACAGCAUCCAACAAGAUUAAUCGAUAGUUGUCAAGUAUGCAUACGACCGUCUGUACGGCCAUGGGCGCCGUGCAGACUGCGGUUCGCUCGACGUUCCCAUUGCGUUACAAAACGGUGACAAGGUCGUCUCCUACGUGUCUUCCGUAUUUAAAAUAUUAUGAGACAUCGCCCAAGCCAGUCGAACAACUUCCCAUGUAGGGGUGACCGGGGCAAGAUAAUUUGCAUGAAAUUCACUCUGCACAAGUGCGUCCGAGCAGAGCGAUCGUGUUGGAUCUCGUUUUUGCGUUGUAUAGGAAAAAAACUGAUUUUGCAAGUGUUUUUUCCGGUUUUUGGUUAAGAAACUGAUGUGCAGACAUAUACAAUGGUUCGGAACUACAAACGAAAAACAGAUCGUGGCAAAUGGGACUCUGAAGUACUGGGUAUUAUGGGUUCUUAAUAACAGGAUGGGGCUUCCUCGAGCCUUUGCUACAUAUAAUGUUCCGCCGGCGUGUAAGAAAAACUCGUGAUACUGUGGAUGACGACACUGAUUCCGGUAACGACUAAGUAUGGCAAAAAGCAUUUGUGACGAUUCAAAACUCAUUUUACAGCAAAACAAGAAGAUGAGUUGGCGCAAGGUGUGAAAUCUAUGGAAGCACGGUUAACAGGAAAAUAACUUCGUGUAAUAGCUUAUCAGUUGGCUCAGCGAAAUCAUAUAGAUAGCCCACUUAAUGAAGAAACUGGCAUGGCAGGAGAAGAUUGGCCCAGAACUGACACCAGCCGCAAGAGCUAUGCAUAGCAUAGCCAUGGAACGUAUGUCCCACCCAUGUACAAAAUACGCUCGGAAGCAGAUGCGAGAUGAAUUUUUGGAUGAACGGAAGCGGAUGAAGACUUAUGGACAGAAGACUAUAAAAGAUAAAAAAAACGAAUACAUAAAGUUGGAAAUAGGAAGAUAAAAAGGGCUGAAAACAAGCGUCAAGCUAAAAGACUCGCCAAAGAAAUCGAAUCGAAAUAUAGUUCAUCUUAAGAGGAGGAUGGUGACUGAGCCUGCGUCUAUUGUGGUUAUUUACAUUAAGAGUCCACCGAGGGUUGGGCUAUCUGCAGUAUUUGCCAUGGUUGAGCACACGAUUCCUGUGCCGGAGUAGAUGAAGAAGACAACGGGGCACACAUUUGUGAACGCUGUCUACCCGAUUAAAAUACGUACUCCUUUUGCCCCGUAGCAUUUCCCAUCUUACCCCAUCCAUGGGGCAAGACGGGAAAUUCGCCUCAUUACCGUUAAUCAUUAUUUGUCAAAAAAGUUCUGUGAUUUUGCAUGAUAAAAUUAUUAAUUUUAAGAGACAAAUGUAUAAGUGUUACUUGUUUUCUUAAAUAAUUUAAUUAAAGAGUAUAAUUGUCUUUGUACAGCGAGUUUUGUCUUAGCUAUCUCAUCUUGCCCCGGUCUCCCCUAACUAUUUGAAAAUCUCUUUAUGUUCAUGAAAAAAUACAUGUUCUAUGUUAAUUGUCAUUUCAAGAGCAAAUUAUUGAUUUGAGGUAUAUAAUAUAAUUGAGGUGACAUCUGCCAUGAACUUUUGUCAAUUUGUCAAUGUUUUGUAUUGAUGAUCACUUUGUUGGUGCAACUUAUUAAAUAAAUAAAUAAAUAAAUCGAACAAACGAUAUAUAGGACAGGUAUUUUAAUCAGCUAUUCAAUUUAUCUGGUUACCAAAGGAAAUAGAUUACCUACUUCUUGUUAUUGGAAGACAGCAACAGCCCAGCCCCGACCAUUCGACGGGACAUGAUGACGGAACGUCUCCUUUUUAGAUUUAAAGGUAGCAGCUGGGCUGUGCCUACGGAUAAUGGAUUUUGGGAGUAACAACUACUUUCCAACGGGCACUAUGUCUACCUUCGUAGAAAGGAGAUGCAUGUGCCUUGGAGCCAUAUGGAAAUGGUAGUGCAAGGUAGAGAGGGAAGAGGUUGACCGAAGAAGACAUGGAGUGUGUGAAUGAUGAUAUUAUGAUAUGAGAGAGAGAGAGAGGAGUGAGUGUUGAGAUGAUGGCUGAUAGAAGAUAAUGAAUAGAAAAAUUCGCUGUGCUGACCCCACCUAGUGGGAUAAGGUGGAGACAAAGAAGACUAUCUGUCUACAAUUGCAAUAAAAAUGUUACACCAUGUUUAUUACAUACAUUCUUCUACAAAGCAAGUUUUAAAAUUAUCCUCAGCAGGUAGCAAUAGCGGAGCUGUCUUUGUCUGCCUUGAAUCAAUAAAAAAUGAAGCUGUA
Long non-coding RNA from Bombyx mori (domestic silkworm), 3496 nucleotides. RefSeq lists it as uncharacterized. The transcript is spliced from 4 exons. The record is from RefSeq and is a predicted model, not a curated record. NCBI's taxonomy places the organism in Eukaryota, Metazoa, Arthropoda, Insecta, Lepidoptera, Bombycidae.